UCCAAUUUGCGCGCGAUUUGGUGAGUAAUCUCACUAAUCCUGGAUUAGUUGGCUAAUUAUGCUUAAGGUUGGUUUAGAUUUAAUUAAUUAUGUUUAGGUUGUUAGAUUAGAAUAAAUUAGCAAUUAUUAGUCAAUUGUGAUGCGAUUUAGAUAAAUUGAUUGUGCAAUUAACAAGUAGACGUGGUCUACUAAUUAUUGGAAGUGCCUCGGGAUUUUUCCCAACCCUUAGUGGGCUCCAAUUAGGCUUUUCGGGCCUAAGUGGAUUUUUUAGUAUUUAAAUAUUAAUUUUCGGAAUUAAAUUAAAUAAUUAUUUAUUUUCCAAAUAUUCAACUGAGAUGGCCCGGGACCAGAAUAUUGUGCUGAUGACCGUGGUGAAGUCCGUUUAUUUAAUCAGGCUUUAUUUUGAGCUAAAUUGGAUUUUUAAUAUUAAUUAUUUAAUUUUCGAAAUUAAUUAUUUAAUUAAUUAUUUUUCAGAAAUUAAGAUGUUGAUGGCCGACGACCGAAAUCUCGUGCUGAUUGUCGUGGCGCAGUCCGUUUAUUUAUUUGAGCUCUACAUUGUAUGGAAUUGAAUAAAUUGUGAUAUUUUAGGGAUUUACCCUAAAUUGAUUGGAAUUGAUUGAGAUCGAAUUGUUGAUUGGUAAAUGGCCAAGUAUGUUUAUUCAGUAUUUAUAGUGCUUUGUUGAGUUGUAAAAUGAGUAGAAUGACGAGAGUGAAUCAGAAGUACUCUGGGAUUGAACCAAUCAGACAUGGUGUAUGGACCUACGUGGUUCGGUGAUUGGGACAUCACUGGCGAAAACGGCGCCUUAAAGAACGCACGUAUCGGUCUAGUACAUACAUUAUUGUGGACCUACGUGGUUCGGUGAUUGGGAUAUCACUGGCGAAAACGGCGCCUUAAAGAACGCACACAGUUGUCUAAUGGAUACGUCACCUUGGCGAAGUUGACGCCCGAGAGCAUUGAUGUGGCUCUGUGACCGAGUACUCGAUGAAAGAAUAUAUGGUGUGGAAUCAAUGACCUAGAAUGGUCCGUCUAACAUGUAAUCGACUAGGUCGAUUGAUCCUUGCUUUGAUUUGAUGUUGUGAAUUGAUUGACUGAAUGGAAAUGACCGUGAGUGGUCUUGUUGGCAUAUAAUCGACUAGGUCGAUUUGAUCGAUACUUCGAUUGGUGAUAUGAUUGCUUGGGUGCCUAUUAUGAAUUGUACUGACUUGCAGGUGGGAUCUGAGGCCAAGGUAAGUCCUCUGCCCUGUGCGUGUUUAGGCAGCCUGUAGUAUAAUAGUUUACUAAUCUGGCCUUAGUGGGGUAGAACUCGCUGAGACGUAGUCUCAUCCCAGUUUGGGGAAAAACAUUUCAGGACCCCGAUGAGGAGUUGAUGAGGAGGGGUCUGAGAAUGAGAACUCGGAGGUGAAACUUGAGGAGAAGGAUUUUCGGAAGAAGAAGAUAAUCCCGAGAGGGGCCUUAAGUACGGCCUGGAUGGAUUGAGAUCCUAUCUUCUUUUGAGAUCUCUAUUUUGAUGUAAAUAGAGUUUAGAGUAAAAGUUGUGAAGUGCUCUGGUUUGUGCUUUGUAUAAAAGUUUGGUUAUAAGUUUCAAUAUGAAAAAUAUGGCCCUGCUUUUCUAUCCCAUCGUUUUAUUGUCUGGGG
This 1636-nucleotide long non-coding RNA is filed under the name Eucalyptus grandis. RNAcentral's name for it is "long non-coding RNA (EGRA_LNC004871)". The record is from RNAcentral. Lineage: Eukaryota; Viridiplantae; Streptophyta; Magnoliopsida; Myrtales; Myrtaceae.